GUGUGUGUGUGUGUGUGUGUUCAGCCAUGUAUUAGUGUGUGUGUGUGUGUCCAUGUGUUAGUGUGUGUGUGUGUUCAGCCAUGUGUAAGUGUGUGUGUGUGUGUGUGUUCAGCCAUGUAUUAGUGUGUGUGUGUAUGUGUUCAGCCAUGUGUUAGUGUGUGUGCAUGUUCAGCCAUGUGUUAGUGUGUGUGUGUGUUCAGCCAUGUGUUAGUGUGUGUGUGUGUGUGUGUUCAGCCAUGUAUUAGUGUGUGUGUGUGUGUCCAUGUGUUAGUGUGUGUGUGUGUUCAGCCAUGUGUAAGUGUGUGUGUGUGUGUUCAGCCAUGUGUUAGUGUGUGUGUGUGUGUUCAGCCAUGUGUUAGUGUGUGUGUGUGUUCAGCCAUGUGUUAGUGUGUGUGCCGG
Long non-coding RNA from Clupea harengus (Atlantic herring), 399 nucleotides. The record is from Ensembl. Lineage: Eukaryota; Metazoa; Chordata; Actinopteri; Clupeiformes; Clupeidae.